AAUGAACGUUGGCGGCGUGGAUUAGGCAUGCGAGUCGUGCGAUAAUCGUAGCAAUACGAGGAAAGCGGCGGAAGGGAGAGGACUACGUGGGAAUCUACCUCUAGACCUGGGAUAGCGGCGGGAAACUGCCGGUAAUACCAGAUAAUGUUUUCGGACCAAAGGUGUGAUUCCGUCUAGAGAUGAGCCCACGUCCUAUUAGCUUGUUGGUGGGGUAAUGGCCGACCAAGGCAAUGAUGGGUAGCGGGUGUGGGAGCAUGACCCGCCUCACUGGGACUGAGAACGGCCCAGACACCUACGGGUGGCUGCAGUCGAGAAGCUUCGGCAAUGGACGAAAGUCUGACCGAGCGACGCCGCGUGCGGGAUGAAGGCCUUCGGGUUGUAAACCGCUGUCGUAGGGGAGCAAGAGAUGAGGGUUCUCCCUCAAAUUUGAGCGGUCCUAGGAGGAAGGAGAGGCUAAGCUCGUGCCAGCAGCCGCCGUAACAC
This 483-nucleotide ribosomal RNA is filed under the name uncultured bacterium. Its description in RNAcentral is "bacterial SSU rRNA". It matches the Rfam family "Bacterial small subunit ribosomal RNA", at positions 29 to 526 of the family's 1533-position model. The record is from RNAcentral.